GCGGACCUGUGAGCCAUGACACCUAGAGGGCCCUCAAUAAGAGGGUGGCAGGUCGGGCCAGGCUAGAGCCUGGACCUGGGGUAAGGAAGGGGUUACAGGGAGGUAUGGAGGGGCCCAAAACCCUGGGCCCCUGUGGCCACUCCCACCCCCAGUGCCCCCAGCCGUCAGCUUCAAGCAGCCACGGAGGAUGCCUGGAUUCACCCUGCCAGGGCUUUGUAAGGUGGCCCUGCCUGGUGCCUCUCAGCUCCACUCACUCCAUAGAGUCUGCCAGGCCUUUCCCACCUCCGGGGGCAGGGGGUGGGGGGCCCAGGGUCGGGGGUGAGGUACCUGGGAACUUUAUGGCAAGCGAAGAGGGCGAGAUGCAGCGACAGAGACCGAGAGACCCAGCGGGGGCAAGACAAGCACAAGUGGAGGCAAGGCUGGGGUGGGGAUGGCCCCUGCACUCGGGGCGAGAGCAAGGGGCACCUAGGCAGGGGGGGUCCCCCAGCUCAGGGCCCAGACCUUGCCCUUGCCCACCCCUGCCAACGGGGUCAGGAACCCCGGCCUCGCCCAGGGCAGCCCCCUCCCCUCUCCAGAGCAUGCCCCUGGAUCCUGCAGAGCAGUCCUUCCUCCAGCUGGAGCAGGAAAACCAGAAUCUGAAAAGACAGAACCAGGACCUGCGGGAGCAGCUGGGGGCCCUCCUGGGGCCAGGGCAGCAGUUCCUACCCCUGUGCACAGAGCACACGAGCUGCACAGCCCUGGCCUGGCCCCCCGAGCAGGCCAGUACCCGGCCCCUGGAGGACAGGGCACCCUUGCAGCUGCUUCGGCGCGAGCUGUGCCGGGGGGAGGAGUCCUUCGUGCAGCAGUCGCAGAAUGAGCUGCAGCAGAUCCGACUAUCCUUUGAGAGAAAGAAGAUGGCCAUUACCGAGGUGUGGGACGGCGUGGCCGAGGUGCACAUGGCUCUGAACAACCAGGCUACAGGGCUCCUGAACCUCAAGAAGGACAUCCGGGGAGUACUAGACCAGAUGGAGGACAUUCAGCUGGAGAUUCUGGGGGAGCGGGCCCAGUGCCGCACCCAGGCCAGGAAGGAGCAGCAGAUGGCGUGCGUAGAGAAGGCAAGGCCGCAACAGCUGGGAUGUUCGGAGGGCCUCAAAGGCCAGCUCUGGCCGGAGGCCCGGCGGCCCCAGCGAGGAGGAGGCCAAGCGGCCGGCGUGGCCCCAGGUGCCCAGCGGCCGCGCUGGCCCCUGCCCACGGCACUGCCGCGCACCGUCCCCGCCAGGAGCUGCGGAGAAGGGUAGAGGCGGGGUCUGUCCUGAGGGCUGGGCCUGCUGCUGGACAUAUAGUCGUGACACACACGGUGCGUGUGAGCUUGUUUCCAUGGAAACGGGGGGGUGGCGCAGGCAGGAGGUUUUGCCGCCUUCUGAGGCCAGUCUCACACCAAGGUUUCCUCAGGGAGGGGCCUCUCCCUUAGGGACCGUAUGCCCCAUCCGCCUGCUGGCCAGGCAGCCCCUCCGCGGGAAGCCCCCAGCCCACCCCAGGCCACCAGGGAGGCCUCUGAGCAGAGGGUGUCAUAGGGCAGUCUCCACUGAAAUUGAGGACCAGGGGUCCUCGGGCCUCAUCCCUGGGGCCAGGCCCGAUCAGCAGACCAGAUCAGGUUCUCGGCCCUGAAUCUGCUGACCCACCAACUUGGCAGCCCUUGCAUAACCCUCCAUCCCCAUCUGGCCGACCACACCACCCCCUCCACACUCGACCGGCCACCAGUACCCCCCACCUCCCACUCCUGUCCCCUCCCCCAACCUAGGAUCCCUGUCCAGUCCAGCCUCCUGGCAUUGCCCCAAGGCUCGGAGGACAGGGGGACCACGUUGGUGGACAGAGCUGUGGAGGGAUGCCGCAGACCCACGGGAGCCUCAUGCUUGUCAGCCAAAGACCCAUCGGCCAGCCCCCACCUCCCAAGC
This is an RNA transcript of Mustela lutreola (European mink), 1934 nucleotides long. It is a transcript of the gene named coiled-coil domain containing 188, with no coding region annotated. Lineage: Eukaryota; Metazoa; Chordata; Mammalia; Carnivora; Mustelidae. The transcript is spliced from 10 exons. The record is from RefSeq and is a predicted model, not a curated record.